UAGCCACGACAUUUACUAUGGGUUUACCAUAGUAACCAUAGUUUUACUCUGGUAUUUGUAUUUACUAACACACAAUAACCACGACAUUUACUAUGGGUUUACCAUAGUAACCAUAGUUUUACUCUGGUAUUUGUAGUUACUAACACACAAUAACCACGACAUUUACUAUGGGUUUACCAUAGUAACCAUAGUUUUACUCUGGUAUUUGUAGUUACUAACACACAAUAACCACGACACUUACCAGGAUUUUACCACAGUAACUGUGUUUUUACUCUACACUAUUUGUAAAGCACAGUAACCACUAAGUUUGCCAUGCCUUUAAUAUCUUUUUGUGAUGUAAUUGUAAUUCAGUGUUUUUUCUGUCUUGCAGUUACGUCGGAUUACAUACUCCACAACAACCUGUAAUCCAGCAGAUCUUUAAAGAAGCCAUCUCUUGUAAAAUCUCUCUCUCUCUCUCUCUCUCUCUCUCGCUCUCGCUCUGCUAGAAUUAACAGGGAACUUCAACUCCACGCUCCCAAUGCUGAUAUUGAAGAAGCUGUCAAGGGGGCUGAACAAGUCCUUCAAAGGAUCAACCCUUCACAGGAAGGCCUGUCAUGAGAUUUGAAUUUGACCAUCUUGUGCAUUUAUGAAGAAGACCAAAAGCUGCAAAGGCAAACACUUCCAAUGGCAGAAACUGAGAGUUUGCAUGAUGGCAUUUUCUCAGACGCUGAAUCUGAUGUGUACAGAUGAACUCAGGAGCCUACUAGAGUUGCCAAGGAACUUGUGCUUGAACUGAAGACCAGAAACGCAAAGAAAAUCAGUCAAACCAGUCCUAAAGAAAUGAGGAAUGAACAUGGACUUCUUGUGCCCCAAAAGAAAAGACAGAAAGCUCCUAAAAUGAGCAAAUAAGCUGUGCAUCAUCUCUGUGAUUUGGGAAGGAAAUGACUGAAUAUGGCGAGUACUGACACCUGCAACUGUAUUCACCAACACUAUUACUCUAGAAUGGUUAUUGCUGUUAUUGCUGACUUAUUGUUUUGUCUGUUUGUUUGAAUUAAGAUGGAGCCAGUUGAUGAAGAUAUCAAUUGAAUGGCCACCGAGUGCAUCACUGCUACCUGAACCCAUCAGUUAUCUUCUGUGAAGACUGCAUUCACAAACCGCUCUACUGCGACAGCUCAGAUGUUACGGCCUGUAAAAGUAAACAUCACUGCUAAACAACGAGAGCUAGUUGUGGUGGGAUUCUUUUGGCCAAUAUCCCCAACAAGAAUCAAUGACAUCUAGACCAGGUGGAGUGUGAGGAGGACCGUCAGAGACUCCAGCCAGCCGAGCCAUGGAUUGCUCUCACUGUUACCAUCAGGCAUGCGUUAUCACAGAACCUACACCAGCAGACAGUGAGACAAGUUCCUUUCACAGGCAAUCAGACUGAACUGAACUCAUACCAGUAAAACCAUACACACCCCACCAACCUCAUAUGCCCUGCACUCUUAUCAGUUAUGCUGACUGGACUCAAUAUUAUUAUGCACCCUGACAUUCUGUUUGCACUAAUUCAUACCGUGCUGCACUGCAGAGAUGUAUGUGUACUGUGAUUAUUAUUGUUUUCAAUUCAUGCUCUCUGUAUAGCAUAAUUUUUAACAUAUAUUGUUCUCUACCUGAAUUGAGUCCCUUAUAUAUGUGUGUUGCAUAUAUAUAUUCAGAAUUUGUAUUUCAUAUAUAUUCAUGAAUUAAUUCAUUUGUCAUCCAUACUGUCACGCUGCAGUCUGCACCCAAGACUUUCAUCACCUGUAUACUUGUGUUCAUUGUAUUGUGACAAUAAAGAUAUUUGAUUUAAA
This is a long non-coding RNA of Carassius gibelio (silver crucian carp), 1805 nucleotides long. RefSeq lists it as uncharacterized. The record is from RefSeq and is a predicted model, not a curated record. The transcript has 6 exons. Lineage: Eukaryota; Metazoa; Chordata; Actinopteri; Cypriniformes; Cyprinidae.